Molecule: ribosomal RNA, 253 nt
Filed under: uncultured bacterium
Lineage: Bacteria
Description: partial 16S ribosomal RNA
Rfam family: Bacterial small subunit ribosomal RNA
Source: RNAcentral
UACGGAGGGGACUAGCGUUGUUCGGAAUUACUGGGCGUAAAGCGCACGUAGGCGGAUUUGUAAGUCAGGGGUGAAAUCCCGGGGCUCAACCUCGGAACUGCCUUUGAUACUGCAAAUCUCGAGUCCGGAAGAGGUGAGUGGAAUUCCUAGUGUAGAGGUGAAAUUCGUAGAUAUUAGGAAGAACACCAGUGGCGAAGGCGACUCACUGGACAUGUAUUGACGCUGAGGUGCGAAAGCGUGGGGAGCAAACAGG